CAGUAGCCGCGGUAACACAGAGGGUGCAAGCGUUAAUCGGAAUUACUGGGCGUAAAGCGCGCGUAGGUGGUUCGCCAAGUUGGAUGUGAAAUCCCCGGGCUCAACCUGGGAACUGCAUCCAAAACUGGCGAGCUAGAGUAUGGUAGAGGGUGGUGGAAUUUCCUGUGUAGCGGUGAAAUGCGUAGAUAUAGAAAGGAACAUCAGUGGCGAAGGCGACCACCUGGACUGAUACUGACACUGAGGUGCGAAAGCGUGGGGAGCAAACAGGAUUAGAUACCCCUGUAGUCCCUGUCUCUUAUAC
This 301-nucleotide ribosomal RNA is filed under the name uncultured bacterium. RNAcentral's name for it is "partial 16S ribosomal RNA". It matches the Rfam family "Bacterial small subunit ribosomal RNA", at positions 509 to 807 of the family's 1533-position model. The record is from RNAcentral.